UUAGUUUACAUUCCGAGCAGACAGUUGUGUUCUAUUCUUUUGUAUAAAAUUUUGGUAAAAAUCAAAAAAAAACGUUAAUAAUAUCCGACUUUUCGGCAAGUAGAGUCAAAAUUAUCGGUCUCCAGCUUGCAGUUUCGUUCUUUUGUACUUAGGAUUAAGCGUAAAGUGAAAAUCAGUCACAGACAGUUCAGACUAGGCUUCUAUACGUGCUUCAGAUUAGAUUUCCUUUCGCGUUUUACGUACGAACAAAAAGAUAUAUAUAUUCCUAUAUACUAACUAACUAACUAACUAACCGUCACACGGCAACGGAACGAACACCUUCAUGGGCUUUGAAGAUUUGCAAGAUUUGCAGAGUUGAGAUUUUCUGAUUUACCGAAGAUUUGAAACAUAUGUCCAUAUACCAUGACAACAUAUGUAUGACAAUCAUACCUAGACCUUCCGAUAUUCUGAGCUUGAGCUGUAAGCGACACGAAGAAACGCUGUUAAGGGACGACAUCCACAACAGCGCCGAUUACAAGUCCCACCACCAGAUGAACUGACCCAGCAGACUCCACAGAUAAUGAAGACGACCAAACACCAAGUGUGUAGUAACGACACAAAAAAAGUAACAGCGACUCCAUAAGCGAAGCAAAUUCCAGUGCACCUUUGGCGAAUCAAAAUCGUAUCCAGUGCCCAAAUCCGCAGUACAGCCACGAAUUCCAGGGGGCGAACUUCCGACUGCGGGGAAAGGCUAUCGCCGGAUGCCACGACGAGCCGAGGGAUCAGGAGCAGAUCUUCCCGCCGCCCGAUUCCCGGCGAAGCCCAUCCAGCCCGGAGCCCUCCCGGCGCGUCCUCCGGAGCCUCGGUGCCCUGGUCGGAUCGCGCGGCGCCCCUUGUGCGUGGAUCUCUGAUUUGUACCCAGUAGCCUUUAACGUUUUGAAAAAUCAUCCUCGGAAAUACACGACACACACACACACA
This 957-nucleotide small RNA is filed under the name Drosophila ananassae. RNAcentral describes it as "GF26376". Lineage: Eukaryota; Metazoa; Arthropoda; Insecta; Diptera; Drosophilidae. The record is from RNAcentral.